Myotis daubentonii (Daubenton's bat) is the source of this 103-nucleotide small nuclear RNA. Lineage: Eukaryota; Metazoa; Chordata; Mammalia; Chiroptera; Vespertilionidae. The record is from RefSeq and is a predicted model, not a curated record.
CUGCUCGCUUCGUAAGCACAUAUACUAAAAUUGGAACGAUACAGAGAUUAGCAGGCCCCUGCAUAAGGAUAACAGGAAAAUUCGUGCAGCUGUCCAUAUUUUU